RNAcentral lists this ribosomal RNA (467 nucleotides) under uncultured bacterium. Its description in RNAcentral is "partial 16S ribosomal RNA". It matches the Rfam family "Bacterial small subunit ribosomal RNA", at positions 28 to 507 of the family's 1533-position model. The record is from RNAcentral.
GACGAACGCUGGCGGCGUGCUUAACACAUGCAAGUCGAACGAUGACGACCGAGCUUGCUCGGUCUGAUUAGUGGCGAACGGGUGAGUAACACGUGAGCAACCUGCCCUUCACUCUGGGAUAACCUCGGGAAAUCGGGGCUAAUACCGGAUAUGAGCUCCUGUCGCAUGGCGGGUGUUGGAAAGUUUUUCGGUGAAGGAUGGGCUCGCGGCCUAUCAGUUUGUUGGUGAGGUAGUGGCUCGCCAAGGCGAUGACGGGUAGCCGGCCUGAGAGGGCGACCGGCCACACUGGGACUGAGACACGGCCCAGACUCCUACGGGAGGCAGCAGUGGGGAAUAUUGCACAAUGGGCGAAAGCCUGAUGCAGCGACGCCGCGUGAGGGAUGACGGCCUUCGGGUUGUAAACCUCUUUCAGCAGGGAAGAAGCGAAAGUGACGGUACCUGCAGAAGAAGCGCCGGCUAACUACGUG